RNAcentral lists this ribosomal RNA (601 nucleotides) under Pulvinaria psidii. RNAcentral's name for it is "eukaryotic LSU rRNA". It matches the Rfam family "Eukaryotic large subunit ribosomal RNA", at positions 581 to 853 of the family's 3401-position model. Lineage: Eukaryota; Metazoa; Arthropoda; Insecta; Hemiptera; Coccidae. The record is from RNAcentral.
CCGUCGUCGUCGGCGUGCACUUCUCCCCUAGUAGGACGUCGCGACCCGUUGGGCGUCGGCCGAAGGCUCGGAAGGUAGACUGUCGCGUGCUCUCCCGGCGCGCGACAGACCUCCGAUGUUACUCCUGGCCCGACUGCUCGACGGUAUUGAUAGCUUGUAACAAUUGGUACAGGGCCGCAUCGAAUGCGUUCGGCUCGUCGGCAGGCUCGUCUCGCUCGGAUUUACGGACCUAGUGCCGUUGCUGGGCGCUUGACGCGGCCGUUACGCCGACGAUGAUCUCGAACCGGCUCGCUUAUAUUAUUAUUUUAUAAUGAUAUAAUAUUACCAGUCUGCGACGCUUUUGCUUUGGGUACUUUCAGGACCCGUCUUGAAACACGGACCAAGGAGUCUAACAUGUGCGCGAGUCAUUGGGACUUAUUUUAAGCCUAAAGGCGCAAUGAAAGUGAAGAUUCGGUCUCGGCCGAACGAGGGAGGAUGGCUCGCGUUACGAUGCGAGCUCGCACUCCCGGGGCAUCUCUAGCUCAUUGCGAGCGGAGGUGCACCAAGAGCGUACACGUUGGGACCCGAAAGAUGGUGAACUAUGCCUGGUCAGGACGAAGUC